This is a long non-coding RNA of Notolabrus celidotus (New Zealand spotty), 525 nucleotides long. RefSeq lists it as uncharacterized. The record is from RefSeq and is a predicted model, not a curated record. The transcript has 2 exons. Lineage: Eukaryota; Metazoa; Chordata; Actinopteri; Labriformes; Labridae.
CCUGCUGCUGCUAUGACGGGAAAUAUUUAACUAAAAUAUCACCAAGAUUGAGCUACCACCUACGAGCUAAGCAUACAGGUGAUAUCAGCAGGCAAUUACACAAAAGCCAUCAGAGUACAAUACUGGAGUAUGAAAAUCACUGCAGACCUGUGGAUGAAUCUAAAUUGAAGAAGUGAACUACAGCACUUGGGCAGUAAGUGCAUUAUCACCUCUAGUGUUCCAUCUCACUUCUGUGAUUUCAGGGAUCGAUAUCCCCGAGGAGGGAACCCAUGAAAUUAUCCCGGAGAUCGGCCUGUAUGCUUCAGAGCUGACGAUGCCAUGGGCGAACACCGGAGGACCACGGCGGCCUUGAAUUUAAUAAUGAAAAGUUUUUACUCUGACCACAAAUAUUAGCACGUUUAAGAAUAUAACGAGCACCUUGAAAGACAGGGCGCCCUCGGAGCGCUUGAGGAAUGUACUGCUUUGUCUAGACAUGUUAAAUUUUUAUGCUUCAAAAUAAAAUUCAUGCCCUGUUGUGGGAAUAAA